Molecule: non-coding RNA, 28 nt
Filed under: Mus musculus (house mouse)
Lineage: Eukaryota; Metazoa; Chordata; Mammalia; Rodentia; Muridae
Source: RNAcentral
UGAUAACAGUCCACAAUCUUGCCAUGGU